This 253-nucleotide ribosomal RNA is filed under the name uncultured bacterium. RNAcentral's name for it is "partial 16S ribosomal RNA". It matches the Rfam family "Bacterial small subunit ribosomal RNA", at positions 524 to 776 of the family's 1533-position model. The record is from RNAcentral.
UACGGAGGGUGCAAGCGUUAAUCGGAAUUACUGGGCGUAAAGCGCGCGUAGGUGGUUGUAUAAGUCGAUUGUGAAAGCCCCGGGCUUAACCUGGGAAUUGCAUUCGAUACUGUUCAGCUAGAGUGUGGUAGAGGGAAGCGGAAUUCCGGGUGUAGCGGUGAAAUGCGUAGAUAUCCGGAGGAACACCAGUGGCGAAGGCGGCUUCCUGGACCAACACUGACACUGAGGCGCGAAAGCGUGGGGAGCAAACAGG